GGAUCUGAGGGCAAUUUGGCUGCAACUGUUACGCUAUCCAUCCCCAGAGCUGAUGCUGUUUCUCAGCCUGGCUAGGCUGGUGUCCCAGUCUUUUCUCACCACUUCAUGUACAUCCCUCUUGAUGCUGCAUACCUGGUGAUAGAGGUUGGCGCUCUCUGGACUAUGUUUUAGUCAAAGAUACAAGAGUAGCUAUACUCCCAUUCCUGAACCUGCAAACAAGCUCUCAAGAAUAAAACUCAGACCCAGCAUGGCGGCACAGUUCUCUAAUCCCAGCACUCAAGAGGAAGUGGCAGACAGAU
RNAcentral lists this small nuclear RNA (299 nucleotides) under Meriones unguiculatus (Mongolian gerbil). RNAcentral's name for it is "7SK RNA (ENSMUGG00000022845.1)". It matches the Rfam family "7SK RNA". Rfam says of the family: 7SK was discovered as an abundant small nuclear RNA in the mid-70s but a possible function has only recently been suggested. Two independent studies have found that 7SK RNA binds the CDK9/cyclin T complex (known as elongation factor P-TEFb). Lineage: Eukaryota; Metazoa; Chordata; Mammalia; Rodentia; Muridae. The record is from RNAcentral.